Oncorhynchus mykiss (rainbow trout) is the source of this 2013-nucleotide long non-coding RNA. Lineage: Eukaryota; Metazoa; Chordata; Actinopteri; Salmoniformes; Salmonidae. The record is from Ensembl.
AUGGCAGCUCGUAUGGACAUUGCCUCUGGUGAGGUGGGCCAAGCAAGAGGGGCUGGCUUCAAACCUGUGCCCGGCCCCAAACCUCGCCUGACUCCCAAACCCUUCUCACUGCAGAGGAACACCACCCUACGCUCCAUCCUAGCCCCAAAGACACUCACAAGGACUCCACAGCCGUCUCAGACCACUUCCACUACACCCACUACCUCCAGAAAACCGGAGCCUAAUCAGCCUAUCAGUGGCCCUGUGUCUGACUCAAGCGGAGCUGUGAAACACGUUACAGAGAGCACCAUGACACCUGAACCGACCAAUGCUCUCAAAGCUCCUUCAGCCACAACACCCCACACUGACUCAACCCACACCACUGAACAAAACCACGCUGCUCUUUCCACAUCCAGCUCCCUUACUGCCCCAACAUCUGAGCCACCGGCUAGUACCAUAUCUGACCGAACUGGAACCUCGGAGGCAAAUCAAGUCAGUGAAUCUGAACUGGAUGAACAUGGCAACUCUGAUUCAGGCCACUCCGCUACUGGAACUGAGGCUGUACCAUUACCAUCGGUCACCUCUGCUCCCCUUCAACCCCAGUCUGAAGACACUGUGAGCGAGCUCACCUCUGCGAUCGUCAGAUGUCACGCCGUGGAGGAUCAGACAGCCCGCUGGGGAGGAUGCAGGAAGCGGCUGUCCAUGGGGCUCACCUCCAGGUUUGAGUCGGCCGGCCUCUCGUGCCCCUCACAGCCACCAGCCAAAGAAAACAACCAGAAGCAGGAACAGGCGACCAAGAGAGAGACUGCAGUCCUCAAAGUGUCGGUCCUCAAGACCAAGGAGGAAGAGAAGAUAACAGAUUCACCAGAGACACCGUCUGACCCGGAGCGCAGACUCAAGCACUCAGCACCGCUGAAGGAAGAGAGGUUUGGAGAAGGGGUAAAGGAGACAGGAGAAGAGAAAGUGUUCAGCAUACAACGGAGGAUCAGUUUGCUGCUGGACUCCUCCUCGAGGCCAGAGCCUCUGACCAAGAGGGAGGAAGUUCCUGGUCCAAUUAAACAAGCAGACGGUUCUGGGGGUGUGAAACAGCGAAUUAAAGACUGGGCAUUAGACACACCUCCUGUUCAGGCAUCCAAUCAGAGGGUGGAUGUUGCCCCUCAACCAAUCCCUGGCAGAGUUCACUGUGUGUUGAGUGUCACUGGGGGGUCAUUGGCGACGAGCGAAAGCGUUCAGCUAGCUCCCCGAGAGGACAAGGCUUCCACCCUAUGUCGCUCAGGACGUUCUGGGAUAAAGGUUAAUAGUGAGGAGAUAGAAGAUGAGGAAGAGGAGGGAGAGGAGAAGGGGGCCCAGGUGCCACUCUACAAACCAGUAGGAAGACUUCUUCGGAUGGAAGAUGGAGGGAAAAAACAAGAGCUAGUGAUUGAUCAAAUAGAGAAAGAUAUGGAGACCAAGGUGCAAGAGGAGGAAAAACUUAAACAGCUGGAGCUAGAAGAGAGACAAGCAGAGAAGGAGAGGGAGAAAGAGAGGAAACAAGAAGUUGAGUUAGAGAUAGAAAGACAAACAAAAGUGGAAAAAGAAAAGGAAAGGGAGAGACGGAGCGAGAAAGAAGAGAGAAAGAUGAAAGAAGAGGGGAGAGAAAGACAAAGAGAAAUAGAGAGGGAACGGGAUAUACAGAGACAGAGGGAGGAGAGAGAGAGGGAGAGAAAGAGGAAGGAAGAGGAUAGGGAGAGAGAAAGACAAAGAGGGGAGGAGUGGGAUAGGGAGAGACAGAGAGAGGACGAAGAGAGGGAGAACACGAGGAAAGAAGUAGAGAAGGAGAGAGAAAGACAGAUAGAACUUGAGAGGGAAAAGGAGAUACUGAGAGAGGAAGAAGAGAGGGAGAGGAGGAAAGAAGAGGAUAGGGAGAGAGAAAGACAAAGAGGGGAGGAGCGGGAUAGGGAGAGACAGAGAGAGGACGAAGAGAGGGAGAACACGAGGAAAGAAGUAGAGAAGGAGAGAGAAAGACAGAACUUGAGAGGGAAAAGGAGAUACUGA